UACAGAGGGUGCAAGCGUUAAUCGGAAUUACUGGGCGUAAAGCGUGCGUAGACGGUUAUGUAAGUCAGGUGUGAAAGCCCCGGGCUCAACCUGGGAAUUGCAUUUGAGACUGCAUAGCUAGGGUGCGGAAGAGGGAAGCGGAAUUUCCGGUGUAGCGGUGAAAUGCGUAGAUAUCAGGAAGAACACCCGUGGCGAAAGCGGCUCUCUGGAACGGUACUGACGCUGAGACGCGAAAGCGUGGGGAGCGAACAGG
Molecule: ribosomal RNA, 253 nt
Filed under: uncultured bacterium
Lineage: Bacteria
Description: partial 16S ribosomal RNA
Rfam family: Bacterial small subunit ribosomal RNA
Source: RNAcentral